UUUGUAAAUUUACCCACGUGUCCCUCGUUGCUCCACCUUAUUCCUUCUGUUUUUCUGCUUUUUGUUUCACUGUGCACAACGCUGCCCAUGCGUCCUCAUCCGUGUGCCUUUUUGUUGGAUUUUCUUCCUGCUAUACGUGUGUUGCUCAUCCUGAAACGGAAGAAAGAUGGAAAAGCAGGGCCCUUCCAUUUGCUUCCACAGAUUUCUCGACCUCUCUCAGAGGCUCCAAAUCCCUAGCCUCCGCAAGAAGGGGUUUUACAGGAAGUGAUAUAUACUGAUUUUUUGGGUUUUACAGUUAUAAUGUUAUCAAAUUCCUUUUUUUUUUUUUUGUUUUUUCAAAUUUUCUGAUUCGGUAUAAUCUCAUCAAAUUCUUUCUUUUUUCUUUUUCUUUUUUUUUUAAUUUUCUGAUUCAGGUAUAAUGUCAUCAAAUUCUGGAUGACGUGCAUCCAGACAUCAGUUUGGUAAAGGUGUUAUACUAGCAGAAGUACUUAUGAAAGUUUUUAUGAUGGACCCAUAAGGCAUGGAAAAACCUUGAUCAGUGCCCUCAAAGAAAGGAUAAGAGUGGAUCAGCGUUUAUAAUUGCGAAGUGUCACGAAUCUCAGUACAAGCUACCCAACUCUGGGCACUGGAUAUGCCUCUUUGCAUGCACGACAAACAUUCGCUAAGUUGUGCAUUAUAAGCAUUUGUCCGUGGCAAAAUCUUACAACCAUCUAUACUUUAUCAUGCAUCACAUUUUGCCUAAUGUGACUAAUCAAUUUUGUGCAUCCGAACCAAGUAAAUUGUACAAUGCAUGAACCGCUUAUAACCACUGGCGGAGGCAUCAAGGGACCAUGGUGGUCUUUGGCCUAUCGUGAUCUUGAAAAAAACAUAUAUAUGUGUGUUUGUCUACCCAUUUCUGUUGCUGUAAAACCCUCCUAUUGUUCAACACUUCAGAUAAAUUCAAUCAUUAUCUCUUGUUAUGGUC
Molecule: long non-coding RNA, 964 nt
Organism: Pyrus x bretschneideri (Chinese white pear)
Lineage: Eukaryota; Viridiplantae; Streptophyta; Magnoliopsida; Rosales; Rosaceae
Exons: 2
Source: RefSeq, a predicted model, not a curated record